Molecule: ribosomal RNA, 217 nt
Filed under: uncultured bacterium
Lineage: Bacteria
Description: partial 16S ribosomal RNA
Source: RNAcentral
GGUUANGUAGGCCUAACACAUGCAAGUCGAACGGCACGCACAGGAGAGCUAUGCUCUCAUGGGAUGGCGAAGUGGCAGGACGGGUGAAGGAAUACACUCGGAAUCUACUCUGUCGUGGCGGGAUAACAUGUAAGAGCGAAACAUAUACAGCUUAAACAUACCAGCAAUACGACCAUACGAGGUGAAAGACAAGGGNGAAUCUUCAGGGAACCUUGCG